GUGUGUGUGUGUGUGUUAGUGUGUGAGUAUACAGUGUGUGUGUGUGUGUGUGAGUAUACAGUGUGUGUGUUAGUGUGUGAGUAUACAGUGUGUGUGUGAGUGUGUGAGUAUACAGUGUGUGUGUGUAUGUGUGAGUAUACAGUGUGUGUGAGUAUACAGUGUGUGUUAGUGUUAGUAUACAGUGUGUGUGUUAGUGGGUGAGUAUACAGUGUGUGUGUUAGUGGGUGAGUAUACAGUGUGUGUGUGUGUUAGUGUGUGAGUAUACAGUGUGUGUGUUAGUGGGUGAGUAUACAGUGUGUGUGUGAGUGUGUGAGUAUACAGUGUGUGUGUUAGUGGGUGAGUAUACAGUGUGUGUGUUAGUGGGUGAGUAUACAGUGUGUGUGAGUGUGUGAGUAUACAUGUUGUGUUAGUGGGUGAGUAUACAGUGUGUGUGUUAGUGUGUGAGUAUACAGUGUGUGUGUUAAUGUGUG
Long non-coding RNA from Ictalurus punctatus (channel catfish), 470 nucleotides. The record is from Ensembl. Lineage: Eukaryota; Metazoa; Chordata; Actinopteri; Siluriformes; Ictaluridae.